GGCUGCUUCCAACACCAGCUCCCUGCAGAGCGGCGGGGGUGGCGACAGCAGGAGCAACGUCAGUACUGCAUUCAAACUCGCUCCACCACAGAUUGUCGGGAAUGACGUUGUGGCCAUCACUGAACCGUGGCUGAAGGAUGGUUGUAGUUGGGACCUGAAUGUCUAAGGUUACGCGUUGUAUCGGAGGGAUAGGAAGCAGGACGAAGGAAUUGAUAGUGGACUUCAGGAAGGAGAUGUCAGGAGAACAUACAGGAGUCAUCAUUGAUAGGUCAGCGAUUGUAAAGAUGAACAGCUUCCAGUUCCUGGGUGUCAACGUCUUCGAGGAUCUAACCUGGGCGCAAUACAUUGAAAAAAAUCACUAAGAAGGCUAACUAGCAGAUGCCUGAUAUGUCACCAAGGGCAUCCUGGAUCACAGGCUGGUAUGCAGCAUGUAGACUCAGCCAACUCCAUCAUGGGCGAGGCCUCCCCACCACUGAGGACCUCUUCAGGAGGGGAUGUCUCAGGAAGGGGGCAUCCAUCACACAGGAAACUCAUUAUUGAGGAGGUACAAGAGCCUGAAGACCCAUACUCAAUGUUUUAGGAACCCCCUCUUCGCGUCCACAAUUGGGAUUAAAAUGCACGCAUCAAUUUCUCUGAAUGGUCCAUGGUGCCAUUAACACUACUUCAUUAUUCCUUUUGUUUUGCACUACCUAUUUUAUAAUUUCUAAGAAUUUUAUGGCCUUGGGUUAUACUGUUGCCACAAAACAACAAAUUAUAAGACAGUGUUAAUAAACCUGAUUCUGGUUGGCAUGAACCAUUUGGGCUGAAGGGCCAAUUUUCUUGCUGUAUGACUCUAGGAAUCUAUGCAGCUCAGCUGACAGCUAAAUGGGGUUUUUGGCAUUGGGAUUAAAACGCACGCAUCGACUUUCUCAUCAGGAAAGCCGUUAUAGACACUUUCAUGUCACUUGUUAUUCCUGCCAAUGCCUGUAAGGAGUUUGUAUGUUCUCCCCCUAACCACAUGGCUUUCCUCCAGGUGCUCAGCUUUCUCCCACAGUUCAAAGACUUACUGGGUGGUAGGUUAAUUGGCCAUUGUAAAUUGUCCCAUGAUUAGGCCAGGAUUAAACUGGCAGUGCAGCUCAAAAGGCCAGAGGGGCCUAUUGCAUCUUGUAUCUCACUUAAAUAAAUAAAUAGAUAAAAGUACUUGGAAAGUUAUUUCUCCACUGAGAUCCAUGGGACCUUUCCUAUGCUCAAGGGCAUGUACUUGCUGCUUGUUGGGAUGAAAAAAAACACCAACCUAUUCAAAACGAUGUCUUAAUAUUUAUUCUGCAGUCCAAAGUGAUUAAGUUGAUUAAAGAAAAACCUCAACAGCUCAAAAAUAGGAUUUAUGUCCAGAGAAUUUGUGUCAGCAAUCUUUGCUAUUGAUUCUUGAGUUCAGUGAUACAGAUGUUAUCAUGUGUGGUUUGUACACUUAACAAUGUUCCACUAUAAUAGGAAAUAAGGACCGGAUGAGUGGUGUUGAUUUCUGUACAUUGUUGUGUCUAGAUCUUGGCAUUGGGCAGAAAUCAACAAAACUUCCAGACUUAACUGACCCUCUCUAAAUAUCUGUAACAGACAAUAAUUAAUAAAGAAGCCCUAAAGUAAAUAUGAUUCAACAAUAAAUCUUAUUAUAUCUGUUGUGAAUACUGAUUGCUUUGUUAUCUUGCGCAGCUGUUCUCUCUUUGGUAUGGAGAACAUUUGCCCCCUUGUGGCUUCUCUGAGUACUGUUUGGGCUUUUCCACAUGUUCAAGAGCCAGGAAAUGAUGUUACAGAUUUAUACAUUUCUGAUUAGGUCACACUUAUAUAAUUGCACUCAGUUGUAGUCACCUCAUAAGAAAGAUGUAGAAGCUUUAGGGAAUGUGCAGAGACAGCUUACCA
Long non-coding RNA from Hypanus sabinus (Atlantic stingray), 1893 nucleotides. RefSeq lists it as uncharacterized. The transcript has 3 exons. The record is from RefSeq and is a predicted model, not a curated record. Lineage: Eukaryota; Metazoa; Chordata; Chondrichthyes; Myliobatiformes; Dasyatidae.